CUUUGCCAAUAAGCAAGACCUGCUGACUGCUGCUCCGGCCUCUGAGAUCGCAGAGGGACUGAACCUGCGCACCAUUCGGGACCGCAUGUGGCAAAUUCAGUCCUGCUCUGCACUUACAGGAGAGGGGGUUCAGGCAUUUUUGGAUCCUUUGUGGAGUUUGACAGCCUCUGGUCACUAUGAACUAUAAGUGUAUGGAAAAAAGCAGUGUGAAGAUUCAUCAUUCAAAAUGUUUCCACGGAAACAAUAGCAGCAUGUGGUUUGGAACGGCAUGAGGAUGGGUAAACGAUGCCAGCAUUUUCAUGUAUCCCUUUUAAGUUAAUUGAGAAAUGUUUUUAUUUUGACACACUGGUGACACUGGUUUACUCAUUUCAACUCCUUGCCUUUUCAUGCUCUUCCAAUCCAAGCACAACAAACUGAAAACAUCUCUUGUUCAUUUCCCCAAACCCUGUCCUGCUCUGUUUUUCACAGCGACUGGUGUCCAUAUAUCAUUUUCAGCAUGUGUGAACAAUAAAAAUGUGUGAAUGUGAUUCAAUUCCAGGCUUCAGAAUUCAGUAGAUUACUAAAACUGAGUAAAGUUCACACAUUUUAAAUGCCUCCAAACACACUGAAAUGGAAGUGCAGAAGAUCUCUGAAGCACCCAGAGGCCCCUGCAGCUCUCCUGACUCUGUUGCUUCAGGGCUGGCCUCACAGGACCUAAGAGGGAUUUUGGAUUAUCCGUCCUGGCUUUAGGGAUUGGAGCUGCAAUGUGCUGGAUAGCAGAAAUCUUAAUUCUGCAUGGACUGUAUUGGUGUAAAAAGCAAUGUGUGAAUGAAAAACAGGAAAAGACAAAGGCCCUGCAUACAUCUGGUAUUAACAUCUGUCCCAGAUUUACAGCUGACAUGGUCACCUCUAAAUACAGGUGUAAAUGGGAUCCACAACAUUUUGUAAUCCGAGCACUCAAACUGCAUUUGAAGGUACGCAUGUGAACACAUUGAAUUUGUAGUGUAAACUCUAAUGCACCCAGGAUGGCAGCAAAGAACUGUCUACUCAUCUUUUUUUGUGGAAAAACCAUAUGAUCAAAUAAGCACAAUCAGUUUGGCGGCACUCACAGGUCAGAAGCUUUGGCGUGCUCUCCUCAGGCAGAUCCCCCCUAAGGUUUCUGGGGAUUUUUUUUUUUGAGAAAGUGCUAUGCAUCAUUUGUUUUUCUUCUCUCAGUAUUCUCAAGCCCUGUUCAAAACAAGAUGAAUGGUGUGUAAAAGCGG
Long non-coding RNA from Cyprinus carpio carpio, 1241 nucleotides. Lineage: Eukaryota; Metazoa; Chordata; Actinopteri; Cypriniformes; Cyprinidae. The record is from Ensembl.